RNAcentral lists this transfer RNA (70 nucleotides) under Marmota monax (woodchuck). RNAcentral describes it as "tRNA.Ala". The record is from RNAcentral. Lineage: Eukaryota; Metazoa; Chordata; Mammalia; Rodentia; Sciuridae.
GGGCUGGGGCUCAGUGGCAGAGCACUUGCCUAGCAUGUGUGAGGCACUGGGUUCAAUCCUCAGCACCACA